UUCACAUUGAAAUUAACCUUAUAUCUUACUGUUCUAUCUAUAGCUUUACCAGGUGAAAAUGAUGUAUACAUUUCAUGGAAUCUAGCAUCAAGAAGACUUCUUAGAAUAUACUUUGCGCGGAUCUUUCCAAUACCACAUUGCCAAAUAUUUCAUAAUGGAACCAGCAUCUUACACACAACAACGACAAUAAGUGAACGAGAUGGUUACUUCUACAAUGUCAGCGUAUCUUUUGUUAGCCCUUAUCAAAUGGAGUUAUGUGAUGGAUACUUAGACAUACAAUGCAGUUUGAACAAUCAUACGAUUUCAGUUGGAAAUAAAAGUGCUCUACCAGUCUGUAAUGAUUUGAAAGAAAAGAGAAAUGGUAGAAUCCUUCUUGUUAUUCUCGGGAUCGUAGCAUUGGUGUUAUUGCAAUGCGGUCUAAGUAGAAUUAUAGCCAGCGAUGCACGACAAUUAAAAGAUACUGCAUCUACAUUAACAAUCAAUCCAAAGCAGACACUAGCUGGUGGUGUGGGUAUCUGUGGUUAUGUAUUGCCUGUGGUUAAAUGUUCACUCUACUAUGGCUGGUUGCAUACCAACUUGCUGUUUGAGAAAAGACCAUCAUCAGCUUUAAAUCAUCGGCAUCAUCUACACUCUUGAAAAUCCAUUGAAAACAACACCAACUAAAAACAUAAAACAACAAACAACAAAAGUAAGGUAAAUAUUAUGUAACAUGCACACACCUUAGGACCAUAUGUCGUAAAGAUAAAAAACAAAAUUAAUAUCAUAUGCAGUGCAGCAAAACCAACAAGAUGAAACUAAUUUAAAUAAGGUAUAGGAUGAAACGACGACAAAUAAUUUUUGAAAGCAGGGUCAAAAUGGCUCUUCGUCACUUUUGCUCUUGUGGUGUGUCGUCUCAUUAGCAAUCAUACCACAUCAUCAUAUUUUCUACAGACGUAUACAUUAUAAUAUUCAUUAAUACAAUAGAGUAAACACUAUUUUUCAAGGCUAAAUGUUUGGGUUGAAAUACGGACUCUCUAACUAAUACCUCUUCUUUUUUAUGAAGCUAGUGUAUUUCUAAAUUGAUGUAUGAAAGAUACCAGCUAUACACAUAAACAGCAAAAUGAUCUUGUUGAAAUCAUUUCAUGAAUUAAACAAAGGUUCGGAUUCCCUCGCGCAAAAAUAAUUUAAUGAAUUGUCUAUACCUUUUUUAUCCUUUUGUUCAUAAGGCUCUUCUAUAGUUCAGGUCUUAUACCCCAUUGGCUUUCAAGUGUUUGGUUUAAAACGUUUUAUGUAGGUUAACCCAGUAUAUCGCUUUCGUAAU
This is an RNA transcript of Mytilus californianus (California mussel), 1300 nucleotides long. RefSeq lists it as uncharacterized. The record is from RefSeq and is a predicted model, not a curated record. The transcript has 5 exons. Lineage: Eukaryota; Metazoa; Mollusca; Bivalvia; Mytilida; Mytilidae.